GACAGAAGGGGCAAGCGUUGCUCGGAAUUACUGGGCGUAAAGGGCGCGUAGGCGGGAUGGCAAGUCGGUCGUGAAAUCCCUCGGCUCAACUGAGGAUCGUCGAUCGAUACUGCCGUUCUUGAGGAUUGCAGAGGAGACUGGAAUUCCCGGUGUAGCGGUGAAAUGUGUAGAGAUCGGGAGGAACACCAAUGGCGAAGGCAGAUCUCUGGGCCGUAACUGACGCUGAGGAGCGAAAGCAUGGGGAGCGAACAGG
This 253-nucleotide ribosomal RNA is filed under the name uncultured bacterium. RNAcentral describes it as "partial 16S ribosomal RNA". It matches the Rfam family "Bacterial small subunit ribosomal RNA", at positions 524 to 776 of the family's 1533-position model. The record is from RNAcentral.